RNAcentral lists this long non-coding RNA (472 nucleotides) under Anser brachyrhynchus (Pink-footed goose). RNAcentral describes it as "lncRNA (ENSABRG00000002282.1)". Lineage: Eukaryota; Metazoa; Chordata; Aves; Anseriformes; Anatidae. The record is from RNAcentral.
GCUGCAGGCAAGGGGCCGGGUAGAACCAAGGGAGGCAGGAGGGCAGCUGAGCUGGUGGCAAAGCCAUUGGAGCAGGUGGGGUUGAUUACCUGAGCAGGAGCUAUAUAAUGGCUGGGGAGGGGGUGGUUUAGUUCAGUCCAGCUUUGAUUUUGCUCUGAAUGUGAGGGGUCUGUGUUGGUUUCCAGCAGAUAGUUAUGAAGAAGGAAAAUGAGAAGCCCUUCUGUUGGGUGACAUGGAAUGCAUCUCAGGUUACCAGAAUAAAUGAGUGUGAGAAGAAUGUAUGCCUUUCAUGGAAGGCAUGGGGAAAUGCUUUUUGGCUACCCAUUUGAACUCACCUUGGAGCCUGCCAUAUGAAGAGAGAUGAACAAAUGUGUAAUGGUGUUCAGAUGAAUAGGAGUGCAUUCACCAGAUCAGCAGGUAAGAUCUGUGUAGUGAUAAUUGCUAAUCAUUCACAAACCACAUUAGAUCAAUU